This 76-nucleotide transfer RNA is filed under the name Blastopirellula sp. RNAcentral describes it as "tRNA-Asn". It matches the Rfam family "tRNA". From Rfam's summary of the family: Transfer RNA (tRNA) molecules are approximately 80 nucleotides in length. Lineage: Bacteria; Pseudomonadati; Planctomycetota; Planctomycetia; Pirellulales; Pirellulaceae. The record is from RNAcentral.
UGCUGUGUAACUCAGUUGGUAGAGUCUUCCACUGUUAAUGGAAAGGUCGUAGGUUCGAGUCCUACCACAGCAGCCA